AUUAAACGCUGGCGGCAUGCCUUACACAUGCAAGUCGAACGGCAGCACGGGGGCAACCCUGGUGGCGAGUGGCGGACGGGUGAGUAAUACAUCGGAACGUGCCCUGGAGUGGGGGAUAACGCAGCGAAAGCUACGCUAAUACCGCAUAUUCUGUGAGCAGGAAAGCAGGGGAUCGCAAGACCUUGCGCUUUGGGAGCGGCCGAUGUCGGAUUAGCUAGUUGGUGGGGUAAAGGCCUACCAAGGCGACGAUCCGUAGCGGGUCUGAGAGGAUGAUCCGCCACACUGGGACUGAG
This 293-nucleotide ribosomal RNA is filed under the name uncultured bacterium. RNAcentral describes it as "partial 16S ribosomal RNA". It matches the Rfam family "Bacterial small subunit ribosomal RNA", at positions 30 to 323 of the family's 1533-position model. The record is from RNAcentral.